GAUGAACGCUGGCGGCGUGCCUAAUACAUGCAAGUCGAGCGAACGGACGAGAAGCUUGCUCCUCUGAUGUUAGCGGCGGACGGGUGAGUAACACGUGGAUAACCUACCUAUAAGACUGGGAUAACUUCGGGAAACCGGAGCUAAUACCGGAUAAUAUUUUGAACCGCAUGGUUCAAAAGUGAAAGACGGUCUUGCUGUCACUUAUAGAUGGAUCCGCGCUGCAUUAGCUAGUUGGUAAGGUAACGGCUUACCAAGGCAACGAUGCGUAGCCGACCUGAGAGGGUGAUCGGCCACACUGGAACUGAGACACGGUCCAGACUCCUACGGGAGGCAGCAGUAGGGAAUCUUCCGCAAUGGGCGAAAGCCUGACGGAGCAACGCCGCGUGAGUGAAGAAGGUCUUCGGAUCGUAAAACUCUGUUAUUAGGGAAGAACAUAUGUGUAAGUAACUGUGCACGUCUUGACGGUACCUAAUCAGAAAGCCACGGCUAACUACGUG
RNAcentral lists this ribosomal RNA (497 nucleotides) under uncultured bacterium. RNAcentral's name for it is "partial 16S ribosomal RNA". It matches the Rfam family "Bacterial small subunit ribosomal RNA", at positions 28 to 507 of the family's 1533-position model. The record is from RNAcentral.